CUUAUCCACUCGCCCACCCCAGCCAACGCUCACCUUUUCCCCUUUCUUCACGUCACAAGCGGCGGAGACGAGCUCCUGUGGGGUGGCUGCCCUGCAAGUGUCACCGGAGACCGCGGCGGGAGGAGCUCGCGCGGUGGACGCCUCGGCGGCGUGGGGAUGAGCUCGCGCGGUGGACGCCUCAGCGGCGCGGGGAGGAGCUCGCGCGGUGGACGCCUCAGCGGCGCGGGGAGGAGCUCGUGCGGUGGACGCCUCGUCGGCGCAAUGAGGAGCUUGCGCGAUGGAGGCCUCGGUGGUGUGGGGAAUGAGGUCGUGCCCGCGGCAGAGGAGCUCGCGCGGUGGACGCCCCCGGCGGAGUUCUUGCGUGGCCGUGACCGGGAGGAGCUUGUACGGUGGAUGCCCCAGCGGCGCGGGGAGGAGCUCAUCCCCGCGGCGGAGGAGCUCGUGUGUGGCCUCGGCGGGGCGGAGGAGCACGACAGGUCCCUGGCGGCGGGUUGAAUCCCUCCGCGUGCUCCUCACUGGCGUGAGCCCAUGCCGCCGCGAUUUCUGGUCCGCGCGACCGGCUGGAGGUGCGGUCGUGGGCGGGGGCCGAGCGCGGCCUGCUCGCUUGCGCCGUCGCGGCGGGCGUCGAGGCCGUCCCCCUCCGCGAGACCUUCGCCGACGCUGACCAUCCGGCCUCCGACCCGCUCCAGGGUACCCCUUCCUCCGCAAGCUCGUCCCUGAACCGGUCAAGGUGCCGCCAUGGGCAGACGCCGAGCGCGCCUGCUCGCCCACGCCGACGCGGCCGGCGUCGGGUCUGCCUCUAUUCGCGUGGUCCUCGCCGCUGUGGCCAGCACCAGGCGCAGUGCUCGAAUGUGAACGAAGCCAGUGACCGAGGUGCUGCUCGCCUUCGUGACCAGCACCAGGCGCGCGCUCCGGGGGUGAACUACAAGGCCUUCAGCCGCACCAUCGAGCCGCACAACUUCAUUUACACGCAGGUAGCAUCCCGUAUCUGCAGGCUGCCAAGGUGUUCUGAUCCUGUACCUGCACGUAGCAUCCUACUCACCCCUUCUGUUCAUUUUUUUCAGUUCAUCAACCUUCAAAAUUGCCAUGUCUUUGUCCGAGUAUAGACACAUCACAAUUUCGUAAUUACACUCUCACUUUUAUUUCUUGAGUAACCGUACUAGUAAACGCAUGGCGAUUGAAAAGCAUAUUUGCCAUGGCAACCAAAAUCAUGUGAACUUUUGUUAAGUUUUAUAGAUGAUGUUGCCAUGCCAACUAAAGCAUAUGCUUGCCAUGAUGGCAACCUAUUCAUCGUUUGUUUUUUCAUACUAGUACUAGUAAGAUUGCACGUGCAAUGCACGUAAUCACUCCUUAAUACUCUAUGUUCAAAGUCUCGUUCUCAUGUGUUUAAAUAGACCAUCUUCGUAUUGCAACUCGUGUGUCAAGUUAGAACCUUUUUAUAUUAUCACCGGCCUCUUUCAAACAUCUGAGUUUUUUCCUCAUGGUGCUCGUAGCCUCAUAGUUUGAGUGAUUGUCACUAUCGCACUUGUUCAAGUAAAACCUCUUACACCGGUCAUUCCGCAGUUCAACUCACGCAAGGCAUGCAAUGCGCAAGGGGAACACUUGGCAUCACCGGACGAAUCACAUCGCCUGUGUCAAAAUACUAAUAAGAAUUAUUGACCUUGUCUAAGAAGACUUCGUACACAUCAGAGAGCUUUAACUGAGAUGUUGGUUCCUCAUGACAUUCAUAUUACUAAACAGUAAGAUGUAGCUACCUACAAGCCUCCACAGUGUUUUGACGUCGUCAGCCGUCGGAUCAAACACAGUAGCGAACCAGAUCGAUUCGUCGUCCCAUCGAGCGCUGCAGGUCAUUUUCACCGCGUCGCGCGACGCUUUAGCACACGCAGUCGGGCCGCUGCUCCACGAACCGAGCCAGGCGUCACCUCGUUCAACGGGCCGAUCAACAACCAAAAGCCCAUGUAGCCUAGGCCCUGCCACAAGGGAGAUUCUUCCACCUGUUGUGUGCGUACUCCAUGCCCUCGAAAGAGAAAAAGUUAAGCCGAUCUUCACAGUCCCCCACAAUACGCAGAUUCGGCAAUUAGGCUCAGCGCCAACGGCGAGCGCUGUCGCGUACCUUCCGCUUCAGUUCCUCUCGUCCGCAUCCUUGCUCAGGCAGCCCCUUUUCUUCCAGAUUUUCCCCACUGCUCUUGUUAGGAAGAUGUGCACUAUCAAUUCAUGACUGUAUUUCAGGGCCUCAAUUCAUGACUGUAUGGGCAAACCUAUGUGUGUGACAGAGAGAUAACUUGUAAUUCCAUGCAUUUCUGGGCCUCAAUUCAUGACUGUAUGUGCACUAUCUUUCAAGCUUUCAAGCUUCAAGAUGCAUGCACCACAAUGUGUAUUAUUAUUUUUGAAAAUACCACAAUGUGUAUUUCGUA
Triticum dicoccoides is the source of this 2414-nucleotide long non-coding RNA. RefSeq lists it as uncharacterized. The record is from RefSeq and is a predicted model, not a curated record. The transcript is spliced from 2 exons. Lineage: Eukaryota; Viridiplantae; Streptophyta; Magnoliopsida; Poales; Poaceae.